Molecule: small RNA, 208 nt
Organism: Enterococcus casseliflavus EC20
Lineage: Bacteria; Bacillati; Bacillota; Bacilli; Lactobacillales; Enterococcaceae
Rfam family: Enterococcus sRNA 2410
About the family: Produced as 2 transcripts on Northern blot. Expressed in mid, late exponential and early stationary phases of growth.
Source: Rfam
UUAGCUACUUUAGAUAGUUUGUAUUCAUAUCACAUUAUGGAUGCAAACCAAAAACGAGUUUUGUUUGUAUCUAUGAUGGCUAAAGCAUUUUAACUUGAACUUGCAGCCAUGUAGAAAAUCUUCUAAAUGGUUGCCAAUAGACGUUUACGCUUGGUAUAGGAUCGAAUCCAUUUAGACGAUUGUCUGAAUGGAUUUUUUUGUUCAGGUA